GAACGAGAAAGUGGAGCAAUCCAUGAGUAAAGUGGCGUCCGGGUGAGUAACACGUGACUAACCUACCUUUGAGUGGGGGAUAACAUCGGGAAACCGAUGCUAAUACCGCAUAACAUCGCAAGAUCAAAGCAGCAAUGCGCUUAAAGAGGGGGUCGCGGCUGAUUAGCUAGUUGGCGGGGUAACGGCCCACCAAGGCGAAGAUCGGUAUCCGGCCUGAGAGGGCGCACGGACACACUGGAACUGAAACACGGUCCAGACUCCUACGGGAGGCAGCAGUGGGGAAUUUUGCGCAAUGGGGGAAACCCUGACGCAGCAACGCCGCGUGGAGGAUGAUGUCCCUUGGGACGUAAACUCCUUUCGACCAAGACGAUAAUGACGGUACUGGUGGAAGAAGCACCGGCUAACUCUGUGCCAGCAGCCGCGGUAAUACAGAGGGUGCAUGCGUUGUUCGGAAUUAUUGGGCGUAAAGGGCGCGUAGGCGGCGCGACAAG
RNAcentral lists this ribosomal RNA (491 nucleotides) under uncultured bacterium. Its description in RNAcentral is "bacterial SSU rRNA". It matches the Rfam family "Bacterial small subunit ribosomal RNA", at positions 64 to 587 of the family's 1533-position model. The record is from RNAcentral.